This 1514-nucleotide unclassified non-coding RNA is filed under the name Hevea brasiliensis (rubber tree). Lineage: Eukaryota; Viridiplantae; Streptophyta; Magnoliopsida; Malpighiales; Euphorbiaceae. The record is from RNAcentral.
GAGCCUUAACUUAAGUAUUACAGCACGUAACAACUAGCAAUUAUUGACGAUUCAACACGUUACAGAAAGCCUGACUUAUUCAACUCAUAAACUAUUACUCAAGUGAAUAGAGAAACUGGCCGGAUUCAACUCAUUGACGAUUCCAUGACUCGGCCAGUCUGGACAAUCCAACAAAGGAGGAACCACCCUCACUCAGUGCCUCCUUCGCUGCGUUUUUCAUAGCAAUUGUUCGCUCCCUAACCGAUUUACCUGAUUCCGACUCCAUCAGCUCAAUAACUCGCUUCUCCACCUCCAACGCAGUUACAUACCCGUUCUCUGACUCGUUCAUCGGCAAAGCAAUUUUCAUUUCUUCCACCAACAAUACCCUGUUGAUCCUUUGCUCUGCGUAUAGCGGCCACGCCACCAUUGGAACUCCAGCACACACGGCUUCAAGCACCGAGUUCCACCCACAGUGAGUCACAAACCCACCAACCGAGUUAUGAUUCAAUACUGCUACCUGGGGAGCCCACAACUUCACCACGAGUCCCCUUUCCUUGGUACGAUCCAAGAAACCAUCAGGAAGCAAUGAGUUCAAAUCUGGGUCUGGCUGAGCUGAGAUGGCUAACCUUUGACUAUUAGAAGGUGGAUUACGCACUACCCACAAGAAUCUUUGGCCACUUCUCUCCAACCCAAUAGCUAUUUCUCUUAACUGUUCCUUUGAGAACAGCCCCAAGCUUCCAAAACACAGAAAGAUAACACUUUGACUCGGCUGCGAAUCAAGCCAGGUUAAACACUCUGUCACACCAUCUGUUUGAUUUUUUGUCAUAAUUAAUGGGCCGAUGCAAUAAACAGGUGGUGUGGUACUAUUGGGUAUGCAGAGUCCAUCUGAUAUUGCCUUGAGAGCUCUUACCUCCAGCAAUUCAAAGGUGUUCACUAUAAUUCCUGCUGAUUUUGAAAAGGAGGAAGCCACGUCUAGAAAGUAUUCAUAGGCUUUGUCGUUGCGAUCAAGUACUGGCAAAAACAUGUCGGAGGAAAAUAUUGGUGGCACACCCGGCACAUGAAGAAAGGCGUUCAGAUCUUUGAAACUUUUUGUAGUGUUUUGAUGAAGGGUCGGAAGAUGCAUGAAAAUAGCAAGAAACCCAGCACCAGAAGUUAAGAAGAAAUAGCCAGGGAUGUUAAGUUGGAAGGCAACAGAAAGAGAAGCAUAACAGAAGAAGUCCACAAUGAAGGCUUUAAUUUUGUGGGUUUUGGAGAUGGAAAGAAGAGCUUGGUGGACAUUAGGAUUGCUGAGACGGAGGACCUCAAAAGUGAGAGUUUCAUGGUGUCUGCUGCUGCUGCUGGUGGUGGAAGGGAGGGUGAUAGUGGGGAGAUGGUGGAAGCAGAUUGAGGGAAUGGUGGCAGCGACAUCAGCAAUGUAGGAGGCAGUGGAGCCAGCACUGUAAGGGGCAGAGAUAAUGAGUACGUGAAUGGAAAGGGAAGGUUGGAAGGUGAGGAUAAGCUUUCCAAGCUCCACCAUAGAUAUCAAGUGGCCUAUA